CCGAACCACCCGCCGGCACCGGCCGGCACCAGGACCGGGGACCCAACCGCACCACUGGGGUGAAGCGACCGACGGCCCGCGCGGCCACCGGACGCCGGGCGCCUUCCCGCCCGAACCCGUCAGCUCACCCGGUAGGCGGCCGUGGAAGAAAGG
RNAcentral lists this small RNA (153 nucleotides) under Blastococcus saxobsidens. RNAcentral describes it as "c-di-AMP sequence". It matches the Rfam family "c-di-AMP riboswitch aptamer (ydaO/yuaA leader)". From Rfam's summary of the family: This family represents a conserved RNA structure found upstream of the ydaO and yuaA genes in Bacillus subtilis and related genes in other bacteria. Lineage: Bacteria; Bacillati; Actinomycetota; Actinomycetes; Geodermatophilales; Geodermatophilaceae. RNAcentral also lists the same sequence under 1 other name. The record is from RNAcentral.